Molecule: ribosomal RNA, 564 nt
Filed under: Fusarium sp. P22E2
Lineage: Eukaryota; Fungi; Ascomycota; Sordariomycetes; Hypocreales; Nectriaceae
Description: eukaryotic LSU rRNA
Rfam family: 5.8S ribosomal RNA (bases 208-361)
Source: RNAcentral
UUAGAGGAAGUAAAAGUCGUAACAAGGUCUCCGUUGGUGAACCAGCGGAGGGAUCAUUACCGAGUUUACAACUCCCAAACCCCUGUGAACAUACCUAUACGUUGCCUCGGCGGAUCAGCCCGCGCCCUGUAAAACGGGACGGCCCGCCCGAGGACCCUAAACUCUGUUUUUAGUGGAACUUCUGAGUAAAACAAACAAAUAAAUCAAAACUUUCAACAACGGAUCUCUUGGUUCUGGCAUCGAUGAAGAACGCAGCAAAAUGCGAUAAGUAAUGUGAAUUGCAGAAUUCAGUGAAUCAUCGAAUCUUUGAACGCACAUUGCGCCCGCCAGUAUUCUGGCGGGCAUGCCUGUUCGAGCGUCAUUUCAACCCUCAAGCUCAGCUUGGUGUUGGGACUCGCGGUAACCCGCGUUCCCCAAAUCGAUUGGCGGUCACGUCGAGCUUCCAUAGCGUAGUAAUCAUACACCUCGUUACUGGUAAUCGUCGCGGCCACGCCGUAAAACCCCAACUUCUGAAUGUUGACCUCGGAUCAGGUAGGAAUACCCGCUGAACUUAAGCAUAUCAUA